This 277-nucleotide ribosomal RNA is filed under the name uncultured prokaryote. Its description in RNAcentral is "partial 16S ribosomal RNA". It matches the Rfam family "Bacterial small subunit ribosomal RNA", at positions 524 to 801 of the family's 1533-position model. The record is from RNAcentral.
UACGGAGGAUCCGAGCGUUAUCCGGAAUUACUGGGCGUAAAGGGUGCGUAGGUGGUUUCUUAAGUCAGAGGUGAAAGGCUACGGCUCAACCGUAGUAAGCCUUUGAAACUGGGAAACUUGAGUGCAGGAGAGGAGAGUGGAAUUCCUAGUGUAGCGGUGAAAUGCGUAGAUAUUAGGAGGAACACCAGUUGCGAAGGCGGCUCUCUGGACUGUAACUGACACUGAGGCACGAAAGCGUGGGUAGCAAACAGGAUUAGAUACCCGUGUAGUCCCUGAG